GGGGGUGACCGGUUUCGACUUCGCCAGUUCGUGUCAAGGGAAGCGGGCCGAGGACGGCGGACAUAACCUCGUAAAUCCUGUGUCCGCAAAAAAAUAAGUGCCAAUUCCAAGGCCACCGUGGGCAGCCAGCGUGAGCUGGCUCUCGCUGCCUGAUAAGCGAGUCGACCCACUGUCAGCCCGGGAGCGCCUCCGGCCCGGUGUCUGGCAUCGCUAGGAGGCUCAACCGUUCGGCCCGGCCACGGGGCUGAGCGGGAAACCUCACAGUGGCUGGGCCCUCGGCGACUCGCCUGCGUGUCCGCCGGGGCCGAGAAACCCAGAGCAGGCUGCGCCCGGAGAAGCCUUGGCCCGAUGGCGAAGGACGCGGGUUCGAUUCCCGCCACCUCCACGU
RNAcentral lists this transfer-messenger RNA (388 nucleotides) under Thermopolyspora flexuosa. RNAcentral's name for it is "Standard tmRNA". It matches the Rfam family "transfer-messenger RNA". From Rfam's summary of the family: Bacterial tmRNA, also known as 10Sa RNA or SsrA, is named for its dual tRNA and mRNA-like properties. Lineage: Bacteria; Bacillati; Actinomycetota; Actinomycetes; Streptosporangiales; Streptosporangiaceae. The record is from Rfam by way of RNAcentral.